Hypanus sabinus (Atlantic stingray) is the source of this 1094-nucleotide long non-coding RNA. RefSeq lists it as uncharacterized. Lineage: Eukaryota; Metazoa; Chordata; Chondrichthyes; Myliobatiformes; Dasyatidae. The transcript has 2 exons. The record is from RefSeq and is a predicted model, not a curated record.
GCCCCUUCUCUCUGUAGCAAAACUCCCCACUGAGUACUGGCGGAAAUGCCCUCCGUCUGGCUGCUGCCCCUGUAGUUCUGUGCAUCCCUUCUGCGAGCGUUUGCUACCUUACACAGCUUCCCCGCGGCCGAUGACUCCCCCACCCGCCAGUCUCAUCCUUCAAGUUAUUAUCAUUCAACGGUACACAAAAAGUUUACCAUCAAACAAAACAACGUUCCUCCGGACCAAGGUGCACAACACAGUACAUAUAACUCACACACACACACAACACAUAAAGUUUACCAUCAAACGAAACAACGUUCCUCCGGACCAAGGUGCACAACACAGUACAUAUAACUCACACACACACACAACACAUAAAGUUUACCAUCAAACGAAACAACGUUCCUCCGGACCAAGGUGCACAACACAGUACAUAUAACUCUCACACACACACAACACAUAAAGUUUACCAUCAAACAAAACAACGUUCCUCCGGACCAAGGUGCACAACACAGUACAUAUAACUCACACACACACACAACACAUAAAGUUUACCAUCAAACGAAACAACGUUCCUCCGGACCAAGGUGCACAACACAGUACAUAUAACUCACACACACACACAACACAUAAAGUUUACCAUCAAACGAAACAACGUUCCUCCGGACCAAGGUGCACAACACAGUACAUAUAACUCACACACACACACAACACAUAAAGUUUACCAUCAAACAAAACAACGUUCCUCCGGACCAAGGUGCACAACACAGUACAUAUAACUCACACACACACACAACACAUAAAGUUUACCAUCAAACGAAACAACGUUCCUCCGGACCAAGGUGCACAACACAGUACAUAUAACUCACACACACACACAACACAUAAAGUUUACCAUCAAACGAAACAACGUUCCUCCGGACCAAGGUGCACAACACAGUACAUAUAACUCACACACACACACAACACAUAAAGUUUACCAUCAAACGAAACAACGUUCCUCCGGACCAAGGUGCACAACACAGUACAUAUAACUCUCACACACACACAACACAUAAAGUUUACCAUCAAACAAAACAACGUUCCUCCGGACCAAGGUGCACAACACAGUA